Molecule: ribosomal RNA, 327 nt
Filed under: uncultured eukaryote
Lineage: Eukaryota
Description: partial 18S ribosomal RNA
Rfam family: Eukaryotic small subunit ribosomal RNA
Source: RNAcentral
CCCUUAGAUGUCCUGGGCCGCACGCGUGCUACACUGAUGCAUACAGCGAGCACUUCCCGGCCCCGAAAGGCGGCUGGUAAUCAGCAAUAUGCAUCGUGAUGGGGAUAGUUCUUUGGAAUUCUUGAACUUGAACGAGGAAUGCCUAGUAGGCGCAAGUCAUUACCUUGCGUCGAUUAAGUCCCUGCCCUUUGUACACACCGCCCGUCGCUCCUACCGAUUCGAGUGAUCCGGUGAGGCUUUGGGAUCUGAGCGGAAAGAGCGUUUCGCUGCUUCUGCUCGGAAAACUCAGUCGAACCUUAUCAUUUAGAGGAAGGAGAAGUCGUAACA